Molecule: long non-coding RNA, 2221 nt
Organism: Tympanuchus pallidicinctus (lesser prairie-chicken)
Lineage: Eukaryota; Metazoa; Chordata; Aves; Galliformes; Phasianidae
Exons: 3
Source: RefSeq, a predicted model, not a curated record
CUCAAAGCCGCGCUGAGGGGCGGGGGAGCGCUGCUUGCUGUAGCAGAGCGUGCUCUGUUAUGUUCUUCCCUUUUUCCUCAAGCAGAACGAAUGUCCGAUGGAAAAUGCAUAGUAUGAGUAAUGCAUGUGUCCGUGCAUCACAGGUUAUAGAAGAAUAUUCACAGAAGAUUCAGGCUAUGAUCAGAAGUGGCUCCAACUCUAAAGAUGUUCCUCUUGGCUCCUUAACCUGUGAGCUGCUUGAAGCAAGGAUUGUAUUGUGCUGUUCAUAUGGAGCACACUGGGGCCCUAAUCUCAGUUGAGGUUUCUGUGUAUUACUGCAAAACAUGAAGAAUUGGCAUAAUUUGUGUGCAUUUGUGGGAGGAAGAUUUGUAAGAUGAAAAAAAAUAAAACAGUUGCGGUGGUAGCUUAUCAUUUAUCCUGGGAGUGCAUAUAGCUAGAAUGACACAGGAAAAUUAAUGCCCAUUGUACUUGCUUAGACUAUGACAUUAAUGGACUUGCUAAAAUUGUAAUAAUAUAUGUCUUUUAAGGAGUCAUUCUGGCAAUCUGACAAACCACCAUUUAGCUCUAACAAUGUUUGAUCCUCAUCCUGAGCCGUAGGCUGGAUUGCAUCUUGAAGACUGAAGCUGCAAAAGUGUCAAACUAGAAUAAAUUAAGAAAUUCAACUGCAGAAAGACAGAACGGAGUAACGACAGGUUACUGUUUCCAAGCUUCUUGCUGACUGGGUUUGCACCAUCCUUUCUGCUAUCUCCUUUUCUUUCAUAUCUUGGUCUUGCACAUCACAUUUGUCAUGGUAAUAAUUUGAGCUUGCCCACCUCCCACUCAGAGAUGUUUGCUUCUUCCCCGUUUAAUGCGCUGCACAGAACAAUUCUCCUAAACUAAUCUGUUAGCUUGUUCAUAAUCCAAUGUCUGACAGGAAUGUGGCUGUUAAACGCAUGGGAGUAAAAUUUAUUGUAUUUACAACUUUAGGCUUCUGCUCAAUGAAAGCUAUUAAAAUUAAAAUUUGAAAGCUAUUAAAAAAAAAAUGCUCUUUCAAAAUAGGGGCUUUUUCCUUUUGGUAAGAGUUGUUAAGAAGCAACUAAUUAUUACAAUCUGUAUAACAUUUUUUUAAAGAGCACAAAUAUAAAUUCCCUAACAUGUCUGCCUGUCUGUGGUAUUUUAACCUCUACUCCUAGUGUAUAAGCACCUUAUAUACUAAGCACCCUUAGGGUUCAGGUUCUUUUUCCAUUUCUCUUUGAACAGUGCAGUGGUCCACUUUGCUUAUGUACCCACCAGAGGAGAUAGUUUAUUAUACACCAGUUCCCCACCAUUUCUGCAGAACUGCUAGGACAGUGCUUUUUGUGUGAAGAAAGUUUAUUGAUGCAAUUCCUUCAUAUGCCCUGGAUACCAGUUCCUACAAGAUGAAAUCUUAUUCAGUUGCUGCCUGCAAGCUGAGUUGGAAGAGAGACUUCUAACAGUCUGUCUGUGCUGUCAUCAUACUAUUUUACACUCUUUGGAAAAUCUAACUGAGGAAUAGAAGAGUUAAUGGAGAAAGGGCAACUUGUGUAACUGGUAUAAUGAGAUGCAGCUAAAUGUAAAUUUCAUUUCUUUAAUGAUGUCUUUUCAAAUUAUGCUUUUUAACAUAUCUGUCUUUAUGUGGGACUGAAAGAGUAUCAGAAUCUGUUAGAAAUCUAACGUAUUGUCAAAAAAACAUUUGAAUUCUUUCUACCUGUGGAAUAUUCCCUUCUGAUACUAUUUACAGAAUGUUUUUUUAAGUGUAAUAACAGGAAGGGAAUUUGUCUUUUUUAGAAACUGUUCACUAUAUCAGAGUGGUGGGGCAGAUAUUUCUAAAUCUGUGUGGGAGUGAACUGUAUUUGGUAACUCCUGCAAACAGAAAGUGUGGAGGGGAGAGAAGAGUUCUCACUUAAACUGGAAUGGGACUGCUGGCAUUACAGAGACUACUCAGAAUGAAAUAAUAUUGUGUGAAAUACAAGAAUAUGCAUUUUUCUUUCAGGCUUGUCAGAUUUCCAUGUAGUUGCUUAUCCUAUAUUUGUAGCAUAUAUUACAGUAACUAAAAUGAACUAAUGUUGAAUGAAGAUGUAAAAGUCCUUGUGACACAUACUCCUUCUCAAUUAAAGUUAUAGUUUAUAUAUUUUUUUCCAGGCUGAAUAUUGUUGAACUUUAUUUAUAAUUUUUUAAUAAAUAGUAGUUGAAGUUGUCAUUCAAGCUCAUGUUGCUCAGGAAG